UUUGUAGCUGAAUGUCACAAUAAUGCAAAAUAAAACAAAUAAAAUGCUUUUAUUGUGAAAUAUUUGGUCACAAAUGAAACAAAAGGGUGUUUUUUGUUGAACUUUUAGAACUGGUUGAGCAGCUUUGACGAGUUGAAGCACAAAAAUCUAAACUAUGUUUUGUGUUCUUGUGAGGUGCAGCUUUAAGUUGUGUAACAGAAGUGUGUGUGUCCGACUGAACAGCAGGGGAAAUGUUGCCACGGCAACAGCAACAACAAACACUGUGGAUGAAACCUGGAAACAAGGACCGAACACACAGCAGAGACAGACCCACACAUCAGGGAGGGGCUGGCCGGACCAGCUCGAAGGGACUGUGAGCAGCGGCUGGUCGCCUCCACGGCACGAAGGGGAGCAACGGAUGCGGCAGAACGGAGAGAGCAGAGGGAUUCCUAAUGCUUUGGCAUCAGGUGGCUGUCCAGUCAGGAUAGCUGGGGAUCUCCUACUCUGUGCUUUAGAUGCAGCUGAUCUUUAUGAUGUGGAGAGAGGCCCAUCAUUGACCAGACAGUCCUCAUUCGGCAGAGAUCCUUUUGCAUCUGAGGAAGAGAGAGAUCAUGCACAGGGACGUUUCUCAGAAGCUUUUGGAGAUCUCUCAGCAUUGUUUGACCACACAGUCAACAAUAAUCCUGGGCCAUUAGAGGAUGCUCUGCAGCAUCUUAUCCGUGUUUCAACAUAAACGGAGAUGGAGGGCUCUACUCUCUCCCUUUGCUGCCGCAGCCUGAUAGGUUGUCAGAACUGUAUUGCAGUCCUCCUAGAAAGGGGUGAUGGUUGCCCAAAGUGCAGGUCCCCUCUCAGCCAAGGCCAGACCGUCGCUGUGGCUGGCCUGUCAGAGGCCUUGGCCGUUGUGCGUGGCCUCGGCCACUAAGUGUCCGAGUGAUGAAGUCAAGUGUUGUUUCCCGUUUGUUCCUGUCACAUAUUUUGUUUGGGUUUCUUAUGUGCAGGAAGAAGAAUUUCUAAAACAAUAAACAAUUAAAAAAAACUGACUGGAAAGGUCUCAGUUUACUUGGAUCUGUUUGAGUUUAUGAACAUGUUUAAUGUGAGCACUGUGUAAAGAAGAACCAUCCCUCAUAAUAAUUCAGUAAAUUCAAAAACUGCUUAUACACAGAACAGGUCAAUGAAACUCUAGCACACACAUCAAAGCAAACUGAUGUGCAUUGCCUUUCCAAGUUCCAAGUUUUUUUUAUGCAGCCCAAGCAGGUUAAUUUUGCAUCAGUAGGUGAAUGUGAGUGGAUGUGGUCAUGUACUAGGUGAGUCUUUUGAGUGUCUUUUAUGUUAAAAACAGAAAACACAUGAAUACAGCUACAGCAAAUGCAAAUUACUUGUAUUUGUAAGCCAAAGUAUGAUAAAUAGGGACCAGACAAAAAGGGAAAAAAAGCAGAGAUGGCUGCAUGUGUAGUGAUAUGCAUAA
Acanthochromis polyacanthus (spiny chromis) is the source of this 1444-nucleotide long non-coding RNA. RefSeq lists it as uncharacterized. The transcript has 4 exons. Lineage: Eukaryota; Metazoa; Chordata; Actinopteri; Pomacentridae. The record is from RefSeq and is a predicted model, not a curated record.